CCGGCUUUCUCAGUCUUCGGAGGACCCGGCCUUCGUGGUCUAUGUGGGCUGGGCCCUGAAUUGAAACACAGUCGGAGUCUGCGCAGUAGUGACUUGGGGUGGAGCAUCUGCAUCACGCUCCUGCCCACACACACCCCUACACUUUUUACGUAGACCGGCUGCUCCAGUUUAUCUGCUGAUGGGUUUACCACGACUGAUGACUUGUUAAAUUAAGCUACAUUCACCCUGUGGAGAAACUAGUAAAGAAGACCAUCAGGACCAAGCUGGGUUUCCUGGGUCCAGAGGUUUAGAGAAACUUCCUCCUAUUCUUUCAUCACAUCUGUCCUGUGCCAGAAGUUCUGUUGACCCACUGAGAGAGGCUUCAUUUAAGAAACACCAGGAAGACUAAAGCUUAUUGCAGGGAUCAAGGAGGACUCAUGAUCUUCACCAGCAGCUCCCUCACAGGGAAAUCUUCAGAGCUCCACCAUAAGCCCCCGCCUCAGAAGAUGGAUAAACCCAGCAUUUCAUGAACACUGUGAUGGAGACUUGCUUUGUCUAAUGUUAGAAGUAUUCAGAUCAUUCUCAGAGGUACUGGACUUUUACACAAAGAUAUUAUAUUCAGUCCUGUAGAAAGUUAUAUAUUUAAAAAUAAAUUAUCCUCUCUGGUUAA
This is a long non-coding RNA of Pundamilia nyererei, 649 nucleotides long. RefSeq lists it as uncharacterized. The transcript is spliced from 2 exons. NCBI's taxonomy places the organism in Eukaryota, Metazoa, Chordata, Actinopteri, Cichliformes, Cichlidae. The record is from RefSeq and is a predicted model, not a curated record.